RNAcentral lists this ribosomal RNA (434 nucleotides) under uncultured bacterium. RNAcentral describes it as "partial 16S ribosomal RNA". It matches the Rfam family "Bacterial small subunit ribosomal RNA", at positions 29 to 507 of the family's 1533-position model. The record is from RNAcentral.
AGCGAACGCUGGCGGCAGGCUUAACACAUGCAAGUCGAGCGGGCACUUUCGGGUGUCAGCGGCGGACGGGUGAGUAACGCGUGGAACGUGCCCUCUGGUUCGGAAUAACUCAGGGAAACUUGAGCUAAUACCGGAUACGCCCUUUUGGGGAAAGGCUUGCUGCCGGAGGAUCGGCCCGCGCCUGAUUAGCUAGUUGGUGAGGUAACGGCUCACCAAGGCGACGAUCAGUAGCUGGUCUGAGAGGAUGAUCAGCCACACUGGGACUGAGACACGGCCCAGACUCCUACGGGAGGCAGCAGUGGGGAAUAUUGGACAAUGGGCGCAAGCCUGAUCCAGCCAUGCCGCGUGAGUGAUGAAGGCCUUAGGGUUGUAAAGCUCUUUUAUCCGGGACGAUAAUGACGGUACCGGAGGAAUAAGCCCCGGCUAACUUCGUG